RNA transcript from Acinonyx jubatus (cheetah), 8404 nucleotides. It is a transcript of the gene named SEC14 and spectrin domain containing 1, with no coding region annotated. NCBI's taxonomy places the organism in Eukaryota, Metazoa, Chordata, Mammalia, Carnivora, Felidae. The record is from RefSeq and is a predicted model, not a curated record. The transcript has 19 exons.
CGUCCAGGCCCGCUCCGCCCCCGGCCCGCCUUCCUCCCGCCUCGUCCUCCGCCUCCGCCCGCGCCUAGCUCGCGUCCCCGCGUCCUCCCCACCAACCCCGGAGCUGCCGGCCGCCCGCGCGAGCGCCAGCGCCAGCCAGAAGUGAGGAAGUUUACUGGAGUAAAAUGGAGGCCUCAGUAAUAUUACCUAUUCUGAAGAAAAAGCUUGCCUUCCUUUCAGGGGGAAAGGACCGACGAAGUGGCCUCAUUCUGACAAUUCCAUUAUGCUUGGAACAGACAAAUAUGGAUGAGCUGAGUGUUACCUUAGACUACCUACUCAGCAUUCCAAGUGAAAAGUGUAAGGCUAGAGGAUUUACCGUGAUUGUGGAUGGCAGAAAAUCACAGUGGAAUGUGGUGAAAACAGUAGUCUUAAUGCUACAGAAUGUUGUUCCAGCUGAGGUGUCCCUUGUUUGUGUAGUGAAGCCCGAUGAAUUCUGGGAUAAGAAAGUAACACAUUUUUGUUUUUGGAAAGAAAAGGAUAGACUUGGCUUUGAGGUUAUUUUAGUGUCUGCCAAUAAAUUGACUCGUUAUAUAGAACCGUGCCAGUUAACAGAAGAUUUUGGUGGGAGUCUCACCUAUGAUCACAUGGACUGGUUAAAUAAGAGGCUGGUUUUUGAGAAGUUUACAAAGGAAUCUACAUCAUUACUAGAUGAACUUGCUUUGAUUAACAAUGGAAGUGAUAAAGGAAGUCAGCAAGAGAAAGAGAGGUCUGUGGAUUUAAACUUUCUUCCAUCAGUUGAUCCUGAAACAGUUCUUCAGACAGGGCAUGAAUUGUUGUCCGAAUUACAGCAGCGUCGAUUUAACGGCUCAGAUGGAGGGGUCUCAUGGUCUCCUAUGGAUGAUGAACUGCUGGCCCAGCCACAGGUUAUGAAGUUAUUAGAUUCACUGAGAGAGCAGUAUACUCGCUACCAGGAAGUUUGUAGGCAACGUAGUAAGCGUACACAGUUAGAGGAGAUUCAGCAGAAGGUAAUGCAGGUUGUGAACUGGCUUGAAGGGCCUGGAUCAGAACAACUACGAGCCCAGUGGGGGAUUGGAGACUCCAUCCGGGCCUCCCAGGCACUGCAGCAAAAGCACGAGGAGAUCGAGAGUCAGCACAGUGAAUGGUUUGCAGUGUAUGUGGAACUUAAUCAACAAAUUGCAGCACUCUUAAAUGCUGGGGAUGAGGAAGAUCUUGUGGAACUGAAGUCACUGCAGCAACAACUUAGUGAUGUUUGCUACCGACAGGCCAGUCAGCUGGAAUUUAGGCAGAAUCUCUUACAAGCAGCUCUUGAAUUUCAUGGUGUUGCCCAAGAUUUGUCUCAGCAGUUGGAUGGCUUAUUAGGGAUGUUGUGCGUAGAUGUAGCACCAGCUGAUGGAGCAUCGAUUCAGCAGACUUUAAAACUGCUUGAAGAGAAGCUGAAAAGUGUUGAUGUAGGAUUACAAGGUUUGCGUGAAAAAGGUCAAGGACUUCUGGAUCAGAUCUCCAAUCAGGCAUCCUGGGCCUAUGGAAAGGAUGUCACCAUUGAAAAUAAAGAAAAUGUGGACCACAUACAAGGAGUGAUGGAAGAUAUGCAGCUUAGGAAACAAAGAUGUGAAGACAUGGUAGAUGUGCGAAGGUUAAAGAUGCUUCAGAUGGUGCAGUUGUUUAAAUGUGAAGAAGAUGCUGCCCAGGCAGUAGAAUGGCUAAGUGAACUUCUGGAUGCCCUGCUUAAGACCCACAUCAGAUUGGGUGAUGAUGCUCAGGAAACAAAAGUUUUACUGGAAAAGCAUAGAAAAUUUGUUGAUGUUGCACAGAGCACUUACGACUAUGGAAGACAGUUGCUACAGGCUACAGUUGUGUUGUGCCAAUCUCUGCGCUGCACGUCUCGAUCAUCUGGGGACACGCUUCCUCGACUGAACAGAGUAUGGAAACAGUUUACGAUAGCGUCUGAAGAGAGAGUACAUAGGCUGGAGAUGGCUAUUGCCUUUCACUCAAAUGCUGAAAAGAUUUUGCAAGACUGUCCAGAAGAGCCCGAAGCUAUUAAUGAUGAGGAGCAGUUUGAUGAAAUUGAAGCGGUUGGGAAAUCCCUUUUGGAUAGAUUAACUGUUCCUGUAGUUUAUCCUGAUGGAACUGAACAAUAUUUUGGGAGUCCAAGUGACAUGGCCUCCACUGCAGAACACAUCAGAGACAGGAUGAAACUGGUUAGUCUCAAAAGGCAGCAGCUGAGACAUCCUGAAAUGAUGACCACAGAGAGCUAAUAGCUACCAGCUUCCCACAAAUCUGCAGUUCAUAAUCCCGCAUGUCGUUGGCAUACUACAGCAUUAGCUGCAAUACAUUAAGAUACAUUUCACAGUCAGAAUAAGCCUCAUUUCUCUCCAUUUUACAUUUCUCUCUACAUGUUAACACUUUGCAACUACCAAGGCAUAAUUAUUUAACAUGCUUUGAGACCAUAGACUCCAAGUAUCUUAAAAGAAGGAACUGUAAACAUUGCACUGAAAACUUGCUUUAAAGCUUUACCUGACCUGUCAAUUUGUAGAUGAACAACUGAUAAUAAGCUUUGAAUGGUGCUAAUAAGAGUUUAGGAAUUCUCUCUAUAAAAAUGGUUGACCUUUCUCCCCAGGUGAUGUAGUAAAUUUAGAUAAUAGUUAAAUUGUUACUAGUAGACAGUGGUGUACUCAAAAAUUUUACUUUGUAAUUCUUCAAAAGUGAUUAUUUUUAUUGUGUCAGUAUGAAGAAAAUCUUCAGAUCUUUGAUAUAUCAUAUUCAUUAAAAGACAGUUUCCUAUUUGUAUUGAUAAUGUAUUAAAAGUUGUUUGUGCUUAAUAAAAAGCUUCUUUUAAACAUCUUAUUUAAUUUGGUGAUUAUAUCCUGUUUCCAGACAUGAGUGCCUUAUUUAAAAGGGCAUUCUUAGGAUUGUGAGGCUGGCAUAGUAUUUGUUUUUUUCAUGUUUGUUGCAUGUAUUUUAGCCAGGAAAUUCAUAUGUAAGCAUGUGUAUAUAAUAAGCAUGUUUAAUUUUGAGAAAUAAUAAGUUUAGAUCUUAAAGAACUUAAAAAUAAUGGAAUACUAUUUCUGAUUGUUCUCUUCUUCAAUUUGAAAAAUGUUAUCCAAAUUAUUACCUACCUUGAAGAUACUUUAUCUUUGGGGAGGAGUAUGGGGAAGAAGGCAUACAUAAUUACUUAAGUGUAAUCCUUUAUAUCAGAGGAAUCUUACUGGAGCUAAAAUAGCAUUUGUCAAUAAAAUUUAAUUUCUCAUACUAGAAGCAAAAUUCUGAAGUAGUCUAGUAACAAAAAUUGUACAACUCUUUUAGAAAUAAAAUUUAUAAAAUGUUAGUGCUUUUAAGUUUAUAUUAAGUUUAAAUGGUAAAAUACGUAUUUAAUUUUUGUGUUAAUUUUUAUUUCAGAAAAUGUUUUUGAAAAAGAUUAAAAAUACUUUUUUAGUCUGUGAUCAAUACAAAAUUAUGCAAAGAAUUGUAUGCUGGUUUCUUUUCAUGUCUUCAGUGAUGUUCAUGUAUCUUGCAAUGCAAAAAAAUCCCUCUGCACCUACCGAUUUCUCCAGCCUUCUUCACUGCCAGACUUCUCAGAGAAAUCCAUAUCCAUUCUCCCUGCAUCCUCACCAUUCACUGCUCAGCACCUUGCAGCCUGGUGUAACAUAGCACUUCAGUGAAACUCUUCUCAGUGUGCUCUCAGUUACUGAAUUGAAUAAUUUUUUUGCCCUCUGUCUGUGUUCCUUGUCCUCUGUCUCUGCAACAUUUACACCAUUUAGCAGCCUUUCCUAGACAGUGUCUCCGCCCUCGAAGAUGUUAUCCUCUGCCAUAACCGUGAGUACAGUCACACAGCUCUUAACUUAAAGUGUAUCUACUCAAAUGUGCUCUCAGAUUCUGUCUUCGGAAUGCUUCUGGAGGUAUCUCAUCCUUAGGGUUUCUGUUUUAUCCCAGCAUUCUCUGUUACGUAUCUGGUCCAAAAUUCUAGACCCAUACUUUCAACUACCCACUUGACAUUUCCUAGAUGAAGUAUCAUAUUUUUCACCUUUCUUCUCUGUGAGCAGUUUUGGUUAAAGGUGCAGCCUUUUUUUAUAGUCAAACAUGCCAGAAAAUCUGGGAGAAACUUCUGCCCCCUUUUUUCUUAUGCUGCCACUGCUUCUGAAAACAUCCAGGAAAUUCUUUCUAUAUUUGAUAAUCCUCUCAAGUCUUUUAGGACUUAACUUCUGAGUAUGGACUUUUGUGAUUCUUCAUUUCAGUCUUCAUAAUGGUGCUCACCACAUGCUACAAUUGCUUAUUGAUGUCUGUGCCUGCUACAUUAUAAUCUCUUUUGAGGGAAGGAAUCUUGUGGGACUCUCCUGUUCCCAGCCUUUUCCUCAUAUGUAAUAGUUGCUUUACUUCUUCUGUAUGUGAAUGGUCUGUUGUAGGCAUUAGUAAUAGUCCCCCUUAUAUGAUAGUCUAAAGUGUGUUUUAAAUAUAUUUCUUAAAGUUAUGACUGACUUAUGAAUGAAUCUACUCAUAAGGAAGUGAUUUGGUGUUUCAGAUACUUAUAUAUUAGGUAAUUUAGAUACUUAGUUACACUCCAUAUCUAUUCUACUGAACUUCAUAGUGAUUAGAGUGCUUUUGUUAAGACUUUGCUAGGAAAGAACUACACUGUAAGUAAAGGGGCUCUUAGUUUUAUCAUCAACUCGACUACUAAUUGUCCAGUGAGUUAGUUGUUAAUAUGCCUUAAGCUAUUUGCCUACAGCAAGAGUAAGGCAGCAUCUGGAAAUGUUAUUUGUAACUUGACUAUUUCAGAUGAAAUGGAAUAUGCUUUUGACAUGAUAUUGUUCUUCAUUUGUAAAUUUGCUGCUACUUUCUAUAUGUAUAUCUGUACAUACACGUACAGUUAUGAUUGAAAACCCAACAAUGCCCUAACGUGAUUUUGUUUCGUAGCAUCAUAGUGUACUUAGAGUACACAUGAAGGAAGUGACUGCAGUCUGUUUGAAAUCAUGAGUUCUUUGUACAUCAUAAGUUGACGUUGGUCCACAACUGGAGGAAGAACCAUCAUUUCUACAUGCCAUCUAUUGGUAUAUGCCACAACUUUCCACAUCAUUUUAGCUCAUCUCAGGGAAUUCUUGGAGUGUUCAUUGGGCUAGUUUUGUUUUUUGUUUUGGUUUGGGGGAUUUUUUUUCCUCUUGCCUUCUUAUUGUGUAUUUGCUCCUCUCUUAGCUCAAUAUAUAAGUUUUGACAGCUGUUCUUCACAUGUCUGACCCAGCAGAUGCAAAGAUGGUACCUUGAUUUCAGAAAAAAAUUGACUUCAUUCCCAGUUCCCAUUGUUGGCAACACAUUGCUGUUGGUGAUGAGACGGCUCACCCUGCCAGCCAGGAUGAUGAUGGCAGGUCUAGGCUUCAUCACUGGGUACAGGAUUGGAUACUACUCUCACUUUAUAGGCAUUUAAAUUAGCCAGGUUGCUGAGUGUUACCUAGUGUUGCGUGUUGUUUCAUUACCCCAUCAGUUGAAAUAUGGAGUGUGCUGUUUAGUUUAUUAUUGUUGCUGGCAGAAUCUAAGGUGAACUGAACAUGACAAUUACUUUUCUGAUAGUGCUGCACAAACCAUACUCUCUGUUCUAAACCUAUUGUAACCAGUGAUGUGAUUGUGACAGUAUAUGAACGUAUUUCAUGAUAUAAUCCGAGGAAGAACUCAGAAUCCUCUACUACAUUGUACGUUCCCUGCCAGAGAGGUUGGAGAUUGCUGUGUACUUUUCCCAUAGUAAAACCCUGUGGUUACUAGGAACUGCACAUGCUCUGGUUGCUAAGUUCUCCACAUCCUAAACUAUUGAAAAUGAUAUGGGGAACUAUCAUCAGUAAAUAUCAGUGACAAGAGUUAGCGUGAUUGAGAUAACUUUGGUUAAAUCCCCAAAAGAGAAAUCCUCUAGAAUUAAGAAGAUGGGCUGAAACAUACCUGCCGAGUUAACCUAAUUAGAAAACUUUCCAAGGUUAACUCUCAGUUCUGAAAAUAGAAAGCUUCAAUUGAAGAAAAUGGAAAAUACACUCCUGGUAUGGAGGGCAGCAGAUAACUUGAUGAGGCAAAAUUAAGUACUGAUUUAACAUCUGAUAUUAUGUGGCUUCAUUGUGUGCUUUAGAAAUGUCUGCAUUUAGCCAAGAAGCAUAAAUAGUGGCAAGAAUAGUAAAGAUCAUAAAAAAGCUAAAGUAAGAGCUGUACUGAAUAUAAUGGAAAGAGUGGAGUUUGAAUAUCUCAUUUCAGAAUCUGGCUUUGCCAUUUACUGACCUUUGUAAAAAUUACUCAACUUUUCUGCAUCUAUAAAUACAAUCAUACUAAAAAAAUGUGUUGAAAAUUAUGAUGUUAUCCAAAGUGGAAGGAAUUAUUACUAUAAUUAUAUUUUCAGAAUGGAAAAUAGAGCAUUCUUUAAUCUUGCUCUUUUCUCAGAUGACGAGCAUGGAGUUGUGGGAGACAUGGCACACUGUUUAUGCUCACCUCCCUGAGCUCCAUUUCCCCUACAUUCAGAAUUACAUACUGGAAAUACUAAGGGUGGAGUUGGUGAGCUCAUCAGUAAAUAACAGGACUCCUAAACUGACAGAUUAACUCUUUUAUGGCAGGAUGGUAGACCAGCGAGAUGGAAGACAAGUGAGGAGUAUCAUCUACUUUGAGGUUGACAGGACAUGACAGAGUGCCAUUAAAAAAUAAGUAAAAGCUCUUAAGUUUCUAAAUUGACACUGGUCGGAAGAAUCUGAUGAUUAUCUUGCUAUGAGAUUAAUAAUGAAAUUUUCAGUGGCAUUGUUUGGUAAGUGUUGCAUCCUCAAAUUCUCCAACAUUUUAUAAAACUUUUCAAACAUAGAAAAAAGUUGAAAUUUUACAAUGUAUUCAUCACCCACGUGAUAGUUAGCAUUAGCUAUGCUUGUGUUAUACCUAUCCACCCAUCAGUUCAUCAAUCCAAAUUAUUUUUUAUGCAUUUUAAGUUGCAGACAGAUUUACAUUUCCUACUAAUAACUUCAGCAUACAUAUCAACUGGAGCUCAAUAAUAUGCUUACCACAUUUUUUAUGUAGAAUUAGCAUACAGUGAAAUGCAUAAAUCUUAAGUGUGCAUCACUGAGUUGUGGAAAAUGUAUACAGUGCUAUCAAAAUGUAAAGCGUUCUCAGAAAAUUCCCAUUUUGCCUUUUCCAGUCAAUCCUUGACCCCACACCCUCCCAAAGGCAACUACUGUUCUUUUGUCUACCACAAAUCAAAAUUUGUGUGUUCUAGAUCUUUAUGUAAAUAGAGCCACACAGCAUGUAAUCUUUCUAGAAGCCUCUUACUAUGUUUUGGAGGUUUAUCCAUGUUAGGUGUAUUAGUAGUUCAUUCCUUUUUAUUGCUGAGUAUUCUUCCAUUGUAUGACUAUAUUGCAGUAUAUCCAUUUUCCUAUUUAGGAAUACCUGGGCUGUUUCCAGCAUUAGUAACUAUAAACAAAGCUGCUAUGAUUAUUCAUAGGUCUUAUGUGAAUGUAGGCUUUCGUUUCUCUUGGAUGAAUACCUAGGGUUAGAAUUUCUGUGUCAUAGGGUAGUUUUAAAAGAAACAGCUAUACCUUUUUCAAUGUGGUUAUAGGGUGUCCUGGAUUUUCACUCUAUUUUGGAUGUGUAGAAAGGUGUAAACUAUUUUUAUGAUCCAUGUUUGAAAUAUUAGAAGUGGGUUUGUGAUAGAAAUGGCAUUGUUAACAUGGUUGGCAGUUGGUGUUUUUUGAGAGAAGAAAUACCUGUCUGCCCCAAGUAGCUCCCCAACAGGUAUAUAUGCCUGAAAUUUUAGCAUUAGUUUCACUUCUUCAAAGAUUCAAGCACUUCCCAAGUAUGGUGAUACAUUAGCUAGAAGAAACAGCACUGGUUUGUUUAUGUUACUAACUUUGCCACCUGUUUUCAAUAAGUGAAAUAAGACCGAUUAAACAAAAGAUUAUUUCUGUUCAAUUGGGGUAGAAGGGGUAGUCAAAAACAUAUGCUACUAGUCUGUCUUGGGUACAGCAAUGUGAGACAGAACCAUCUGGAUGGGAUAGCCCCCCCAAUUGGUCAAGAAACCAGAAAACAGGGUGGGAAGAAUUCUACCUCACUGUUGUGAUAGGGGAUAGCUAUGUUUUUUGCAGGACAUUUUAGCCUUUACAAAUCGUAUUUUCUGUGUUUUUUGUUUGUUUAGCACCACCCAGCUGUAAUUAUUUCACACCCUAGUGACUUUGUUAUUCACUGUUCUUUUACCCUUCCUCCCUGUUAAAUUACAUAGAGCAGUCACCUGUAUAAACCUGUAAAAUUAUAAUCAUAUGUAUGUUUCUAAUGCCUGUGUUCCAAGAUAUUUAUGUAUGGUUCAUCCAAUCUUUCCUACUCAAUUUUUAAGGGCUGGGAUAUUUGGCCUCUACUGUAAACCCCUAUAAUGUUCCACACAUUGUAAAUGCAAUAAAAAUGUUAAAAACUA